CCUGUUAUUUUUUUUUUUUACCUCAUCGUUAUUCUCAAAUGCUGAUGCUGUGUGUGAAUGCUUAAAGAUGAGGUUUGAUGACGUUAUUAUGUCUAUGCUGAGUACUCAUGUUUGUGCUAUUUGGUGUCAAGGUAAUUCAUGCUAGCACACUGGAUACGAAAAAAAGGAUGUGAUAAUCUUCUCACUAGAAAACAAACUCCAGCCUUAUUCCAAUGGCUCCUCUUUGGACUUGGGUGAUUCCAGGCAACCCCUGCUGCAGCGCCCUCCUGCUGGUGGCCUUCAGCUGGCACACGUUCCCGUAUGUCUUGCCGUCGCUGCCGCACACUUCCUGACUCAGUUUGCACUGGCAGAAGCCCUUGAGCAGAAGCUUGCUGGCCGGGUGUCUGCACUCCAGCCCGUCCCCGCAGGGCAGGUCAUCCUUGUGGCCGCACGGCUCGCCCUCCCCCAAGGCGCACACCAGGCAGCAGUUGCAGCGGUCGGGCACAUAGCCGCUGGGGCAGCUGGGGCUUGGGCAGGUACUCACAUCACACCUCGUGGGACACUUUGACCUGGGCUCUGCACCCUCGGACCCUUUAAGGUAAAGCAGCAAGGCUGCACACAGGACAAGCCGCAUUUUCUUCACUGAAGACCUAAGGCUCAAAUUAAAGAAACACUAACACAGGGAAUGAUCUUUGCCGUCUUGGUGUUGCCUUUGCCUGUGAAGGCGGUGGGAACAUUCUCUCCGAUGGCUCGGGAGCUUCACUGCAGAGAGGAGGAGAAGGAGGAGGAGGUCUGUGGAAAAAGGCGGAGCGACUUGCAUGUGUAUAACAUUCCAUUUUAAAGUCUCACUGGCUGUUUUUCACAUAUGUAUCAUACUCCUGCAACACUCAUUAGAAAUAGGAUGUGUCUACAAACAAUGAAGGAAAGAUUCUUCCUCGGAAAGGGGUGUCCAAAGAGUAGCGGGGGGCCAUUUGCGACCCACAGCUAUGUGUCGCAUAGUGUACAAAUACAGUGUGGCCUCAGUUUUUGAUAUUAAUUUGCUCCAAAAGGUCAGAUGAAAGCAGAAACAUUGAAAACCAAAGCACUUUUUUCUAUCAGAAGUAAUUUAAAUCUAACACCCAGAAAUAUGAACAAAAAAACCCCACAUUUUAUCGAGAAUAAUUAUACCGUAGUUUUACUGUGUUAAAGGUUCCUACGUUUACAUUACAAUGCUUUACCUUCCUCCUCCUUUCUUGAAUUCAGUCGUGUUCCUCACCUUAAAAAAAAAAAACACAACAACAACACUGAGAAAGUACACUGUGCACUUCAAUGCCUCAUCAGCACACGGCACAGUGGACAAAGUGGUUGUUCAUUGUUCUGUGUGCGCACAUAAACCACACACACACACACACACACAUAAUAAAGAUGAUUAAAAGAUUCCCUGGCUGAAAUCUGUCUACAGUAUAGUGUCCCAACUUUAAAAAAAACUACUAUCCAUUCUUCCCAAAGACUGAGUCACCAAUGUGUGCUAGCUGUGUGCACUGUUUGGCCAUACGAUAAUCGAGAAAGUGUGCACAAACACAUAUUUUUGGCAAUAAUUUUGGUCAAAAAAUGAAUCAUACGAAAACAGGGCAGGUUGCACUGUACAGUUUAAUAAGAAAACUAACAAAACAGUUGAAAAAAAGAGCCAAAAGGUGUAAUGAAGGGGUGUCCAAAGCAGGGGCGGACUUACCAUUAGGCAAACGGGCCCCAAAAUUUUCAAGGGCCAAUCAACAUCUCAUAAAAACGAUUAAUUUUGAUUUAAAGUACAUAUUUUAGCCUCAAUUCACAUGCAUAAAUCUACAUCAAAAUGCGUAAUCUAUCGUGAUCGAAGAUGUGAGUAUUAAAAGCGGUAAACUAUAUCAAAUGUUGCUUAAUUUUCUCAUCAAUUACAGUAAAAGCGUUGAGGUGAUUCACUUGUUUGGUAAUAGUAAUCUGCCAGGAGGAUUUUAUAUGGAACAGGGAAUAGAAUUUUCUCAUUCACACUUGUUAGUAGAUGAUAAACGUUAACAUUUAAAAUCGUUUUUUGGGGGGUGGUUAAGUACACAUGGCAAUGCAACUGGCAACUUUAGCUGAAAGAUAACUGUUAAGAGAUUUCAAAAGCAGGAAAAAGUUGUCUAAAGUACAUAGGCACCUUUUGUAAAACUUGAAAUUAAAUGUGUGUGUUUAAUAAAUAAAAAGGUAAAUAGUAACAAGUUUGGACAUCCCUGUCUUAGAUGUAUAUACUAUACUAAGCAGUAGAUUUAGCAUGUAGCGCUUAAAGGAGCCAAAACAUGUCCUCAUUCUGUCAAAGAUGAAUGACCUCAUGUUUUGACAAGGGACUGACUCCUGUCCCCUGCUGGCCUGCACUCACACUGCUCACAUGCAUUUCAUGUACCAUAACCUCAUAAUACAAACACUGCAUGAUGGCUGAUGACUUUGCUAACAUAGUGGCUUAUUUUGUUUCAUUCUGUUUUAUAACUGUUGUGAAAUGUGGAGAUUAUCAUGAAUCACUUGUCAGGAGGAGCUGCAAGAUUUUGUUUGCUUAUUUGAAUGUACCUAGUGUCUUUCAGCAGGGAUUCUCAACUGGGGUUGAGAACCCACAGGGAAUCGUGAUUAGGGGUCCACAUUUUUUUUUUGUAGUAAAUGAAUGAAGUUAGGGUGUAUUGUUAAAAAGUAUCAAUAGGAACAAACAUUGUGAACCAAUAACUGUUACUUACAUUAGGGUUAGUGAAUCUGUGCGACGCCUACUGAUUAAAAUAGCACAAUGGACAAAUAUUUUAAGUCCUCAACUCAUCAAGAGAUGGAAAGGCAAAAGUGUCUCAGCUUGGAAAAAUAGGAGGACAGUUAUAUGGAGUUUGGUUAUAUUGAGAAUAAUGACGUAAGGCCAAAACGUGUCAUCAAGUAAAGGCUUAAUUAACACUGUUACAAAUGUUCACUUUUCCGUCACUUUUUGUAAUGUUAAUUAACAUCCUGUACUUUUCCUGUCUAUGGAAGGACGACAGUGAAAAGCACCUUCCAGCUCAGGCACUCCUUCAGGAUGAAGCAAGUAGUGUAAGCGCCUCCACGUCUGACAUUUCUGCGUAUUUUAUUGUCCCAUUAGUAAGAAUUAUUAUAUGACAUUUACAUUAAAGACAUUACACAGACUGUAGGAAGUCAUGGUGUAUAUACUGUAAUCAGUGUUUCCGCAACAUAUAAUUGGCGACAUGCUGACAAACAGAAACUGUCAGAUCCAACUCAGUGCACGCAUGAGUGCACUCAGCCGGUAGGCAGGGCUUGCGCACUCAGCUGAGAAGAGAUGCAUGCCUCAUCUUAGGUUUCUUUCCUGUAUUUGAUAAGAAAUUUGCAAAUUCUGCCAUUUUUACUCAUGAAAAUGUUUUGAAUGAUUGGAAUCAUACAUGCAAUACAUUUAUAUAACAGGGCGUAUAUAUUUUUUUAUUGUUAUGUUAAAGUGGAACUAAUGCUUUCAUGCUUUAAACACAAAUAUGGUUUUCUUUAAUGGGAACCAUAAUAAUCACUGGCCAGGCUUGACCGUGGUGGCUUAAUAUUAUCUUUGGCAUCAGGAACAAUCGGAACAAUACCAAAAAGUGUAAAAAUCCCCUUGGUCCCAAAAUGACUUCACUUUGUGGACAUGUUGUUUUGGACAGGGUCUCAUGUGUUAUAACCGUAACAAGAUGCCACGACAAGCGAGCACACAUGCGUCACAGAGGCCAACUGGAGUCCACGCACCGACGUUUGUUUGGGCAGACGAGCGCUGGCUUUUCCUCUCUAUGGAAAGACAAGCACCUUCCAGCUGACUUACGACCCCGCCCCUUCACGGAAAGAUGGAGUACUGCAGCGCGUCUGUGUAUGCUAUUUCUCAGUAUUUUAUUGUCCCAUAAGCAAGAAUAAUGACGCCACUCUUACAUUAAAUACAUUACACGGGCUGCAGAUAAUUGCUCAGCCUGAUGUUGGCACACCUGUUGAUGGUGCCAGGUAGAGAUUGAUGCGGUACAGUGUUGCCAGAUGGGAAAUGCCAAAUUAUCAUAUAUUGAGGAAAAUUAUUAACGCGAUUUGACCAUCUGCUACAGUAAACCAUUACCACAGCACUAUUGGAAAAAAAAGCUGCCAGGGGCAGAACAGCACCCCCACCUGGCACAACAUCAGGCGCAGUGCAGGAUCCUGUUUGUGUUUGCCGGCAGCCAUGUAUUGAAGGCGUCAAAUUAUUGUACAUUAUGGGACUUUUGGAUUUAUUGAUUGUACAUUGGGAGACAUUAUCGUACAAAUGCGAGAGUUAUUGUACACAAUCCAGGUGAUUUUUAACUUAAGGAUGUCGGGCGACGAGAGCAAUUUCUGGUCUCUCGCAGAAUUUAGAGUUAGCAGCUCUAUUGUCCAGUUCCUUGAACAAGUACUUUGGCUUCUUCCAGUCCCCUCUUUUAACUUACAGAUUUUGCAGUUGGUGCUUCACGUGUCUGUGUCGUUUUGUCAGAUGUUCAUUCAUGUAGACACUUGUUCUCUCCAUCUGUCUGCCUUGUUUCAGCCAUGGCAUUUUGUGUUUUUUGUUGGUGCAACUUAUGAUUAUGACAUAAUGCACGGUGCUAUAAUUGCUUCCAUACAGUGGAAUGCACGUCUUGAUCAUCUAUUUGGGUCUCCUCUGCCCUGGCCACGUUUUGAGUCUUUGUAUCCUUUAAAUUAAGCAGAUUUUGCGAAGCUUAUGUUCAUCUAUGUGGUAUAAAUUAGGAAAAAUGUACAAACAUGCUCACUAGGAAUAAAAAUGUGUGCCUUGAUAUCCGACCAUUUAAAAAAACGAAUUUGCCACGGUGCCCCUCCGUUCCACUGACGCUGUUGACAGUGGACGCUACUUGCACUCGCUCAUCUUCUUCUUGUGCGUGAUGCCACUGCUGUGUCAUCCAAAUGUUAUAUUUUCACGGGCCUCCAGAUCUCCAAGAAGGAUUUCCACCCCGGUUUUGAUGAAGUUCCUCUUAAUCGUCUUCGGCUUUUCAGCAGCCAUGAUUCAGAAGAACUAAGCGAAAUACAAUAAAGAGUCAUUGAAUACGGACGCCGUAUUCAUGCCAUUCACGCCACUUUGCGUUGACCAUUUAUGGCGAAUUGAAGGCUUGGAGAAGGCGUGACUUGGGGUGGAGUUGGGUACUCACACUUAGACAGCAGGUGAAGCACAAAUUGCGUGGAUGUGUGCGUACGCCACUUUUUUUUUUAGGUCUGAAUAUUUUUGUGCGUACGCACAUUUUGGGUUUCUGGCGUACGCAGACUUUUAGUUAGAUUUCCACACAGUGCCAGAAGUGCCUGAAGCCAUUUUAUGGAGCUAGUAUUGUAGAGGUCUCCAGUAUUGAAUUUCUAUCUUGUUAAUCUUCUUUGCAUUCAUGUUUUCCGUCUCUUUGGACCUUUCCCCUGGACCAAGACAUGUGUUCCUGGCUUGGGCAUGCUGGCAUUUUAAUGUUCAUUGUUUAGAUCUCUACAGCAAUAAGUAGCUUAUUAUAUUUUUCCUUUCUGUAUUUUUUUUAUUUUGUAAGAAUGUGUGCUUAUAUAUUUACAAUUACAUAAUUGUUAUCCUUCUCUAAGAUAUAAUUAAAACGAAGUGCACUCACACACAGCUUUUUGUUUGGCAACAUUUCUUUACUUUGUUGUUGGUGAUGUUUGGGCACCAUAACUUGGAUACACAACUUGACA
Molecule: long non-coding RNA, 5643 nt
Organism: Dunckerocampus dactyliophorus (ringed pipefish)
Lineage: Eukaryota; Metazoa; Chordata; Actinopteri; Syngnathiformes; Syngnathidae
Exons: 4
Source: RefSeq, a predicted model, not a curated record